AACGAACGCUGGCGGCAUGCCUAACACAUGCAAGUCGAACGAGACCUUCGGGUCUAGUGGCUCACGGGUGCGUAACGCGUGGGAACCUGCCCUUAGGUUCGGAAUAACUCCCCGAAAGGGGUUCUAAUACCGGAUAAUGUCUUCGGACCAAAGAUUUAUCGCCUUUGGAUGGGCCCGCGUUGGAUUAGCUAGUUGGUAGGGUAAAAGCCUACCAAGGCGACGAUCCAUAGCUGGUCUGAGAGGAUGAUCAGCCACACUGGGACUGAGACACGGCCCAGACUCCUCCGGGAGGGAGCAGUGGGGAAGAUUGGACGAUGCGCGAAAGCCUGAUCCAGCAAUGCCGCGUGAGUGAUGAAGGCCUUAGGGUUGUAAAGCUCUUUUACCCGGGAUGAUAAUGACAGUACCGGGAGAAUAAGCUCCGGCUAACUCCGU
Molecule: ribosomal RNA, 432 nt
Filed under: uncultured bacterium
Lineage: Bacteria
Description: partial 16S ribosomal RNA
Rfam family: Bacterial small subunit ribosomal RNA
Source: RNAcentral